RNAcentral lists this long non-coding RNA (552 nucleotides) under Canis lupus familiaris (dog). RNAcentral describes it as "lncRNA (ENSCAFG00845006077.1)". Lineage: Eukaryota; Metazoa; Chordata; Mammalia; Carnivora; Canidae. The record is from RNAcentral.
AUGUUCAAAGUCAGCAGUUACGGAAAGGAAGCCUACGGGGGCGCCAACAGAGACUCGCCCCCCCCCCCCCCCCCCCCCCCACCCAAGUUGGUGCAGAGACGACUGCAGGAGAGUAGCCAGGAGGCUGAAUUCAUUCUUGCUGCCUCUUUUCAAUUCGCAGUUCAGUGUCAGCGUCUCAGUCUGGCAGAUCAGAAAGCUGCUGAGGAUGUUUGGCAUGAGUUUCCACAGGGAAGACUGGAGUCACUGAGAAGCCACAUUCUAAUCCCUUCAGGGCCUCCCAGUGGAAAAGCGACAGAACCCAAAGUCACCGUGGAAGUGGGACCCACGGCGGUAGGACACUGGCACCUGCCCACCUGGCCGCGUGAGAAUCGUGAAGUGACGACACCUCUGGAGGCCUCGAUUUCUCUGUCACCCUCAACACUAAGAGUUUUGGCCCUGCUCCUCUUGCUGAGUCAACGAGAAAGUCUUCAUGGAAAUGAAAACGGUAGAUUCUGAAAACGAUUGAAUUGCAGAUUAAGUUAAUUUAAAAUAAAUUAUAAUUAAGAAAGGAUG